UAGAGUUUGAUCCAUGGCUCAGAUUGAACGCUGGCGGCAGGCCUAACACAUGCAAGUCGAGCGGUAGAGAGAAGCUUGCUUCUCUUGAGAGCGGCGGACGGGUGAGUAAUGCCUAGGAAUCUGCCUGGUAGUGGGGGAUAACGUUCGGAAACGGACGCUAAUACCGCAUACGUCCUACGGGAGAAAGCAGGGGACCUUCGGGCCUUGCGCUAUCAGAUGAGCCUAGGUCGGAUUAGCUAGUUGGUGAGGUAAUGGCUCACCAAGGCGACGAUCCGUAACUGGUCUGAGAGGAUGAUCAGUCACACUGGAACUGAGACACGGUCCAGACUCCUACGGGAGGCAGCAGUGGGGAAUAUUGGACAAUGGGCGAAAGCCUGAUCCAGCCAUGCCGCGUGUGUGAAGAAGGUCUUCGGAUUGUAAAGCACUUUAAGUUGGGAGGAAGGGCAUUAACCUAAUACGUUAGUGUUUUGACGUUACCGACAGAAUAAGCACCGGCUAACU
Molecule: ribosomal RNA, 501 nt
Filed under: Pseudomonas sp. 01WB04.4-91
Lineage: Bacteria; Pseudomonadati; Pseudomonadota; Gammaproteobacteria; Pseudomonadales; Pseudomonadaceae
Description: bacterial SSU rRNA
Rfam family: Bacterial small subunit ribosomal RNA
Source: RNAcentral